GACGAACGCUGGCGGCGUGCUUAACACAUGCAAGUCGAACGGAAAGGCCCUGCUUUUGUGGGGUGCUCGAGUGGCGAACGGGUGAGUAACACGUGAGUAACCUGCCCUUUACUUUGGGAUAACUUCAGGAAACUGGGGCUAAUACCGGAUAGGAGCUCCUGCUGCAUGGUGGGGGUUGGAAAGUUUCGGCGGUUGGGGAUGUACUCGCGGCUUAUCAGCUUGUUGGUGGGGUAGUGGCUUACCAAGGCUUUGACGGGUAGCCGGCAUGAGAGGGUGACCGGCCACAUUGGGACUGAGAUACGGCCCAGACUCCUACGGGAGGCAGCAGUGGGGAAUAUGGCACAAUGGGCGGAAGCCUGAUGCAGCAACGCCGCGUGCGGGAUGACGGCCUUCGGGUUGUAAACCGCUUUCGCCUGUGACGAAGCGUGAGUGACGGUAAUGGGUAAAGAAGCACCGGCUAACUACGUG
Molecule: ribosomal RNA, 468 nt
Filed under: uncultured bacterium
Lineage: Bacteria
Description: partial 16S ribosomal RNA
Rfam family: Bacterial small subunit ribosomal RNA
Source: RNAcentral